GAAAUUUGCCGUUCCAACUUUGUCGCGGUUCUCUCUCACUGGCGGCGGCGGCGAGGCCUCUGCGUCUUCCAGAUCCCUCGUACGGGAGGGAAUCUCCGCAGCCGAGCGGAGCGGCGGAGGGGAGGGAGGUUUCGUACAACAUUUCCCCCCCCAUUAUUUUCUUAUAUGUUUGUGGGUUUCGUCCUCCAUUCGUUACGAUGAAAUGGUCUGAUGCUAAAUUUGGGUUUCGUUCUCCAUUUGUGGGUCUUGCAAGCUGUCCAUGUAAUUUCUGCAUAUCCCUGUGAUGAGCAUUUUAGUAAUCUGAGAGUGCUCACGGUCACUUGGUGCUCCCUCCUCAUCGCUCACGAUGGGAGGUUGAAGGAACCAAUGUCUCUGCACUACAUUGCUGAGAUGUGGCGUUCUGAGGGAUCCGACCGAGUCGUUGAUGGCUCACAUUUUUUUUUUACUUCAAGAAUUUAUCGUGAUCUUUUUUUUGUUGUUGUUGCUGAGGAAACUGUGAUCUUUGUGCCUGAAAACAUGGCACCAAAGUUUGCUCAUGUAUUGUGUGCCUCAAAGAUGACUGUAUGUCUGUAUCUUGAUUCAGGUGUGCCCUAUAUCCGUACGGUGUACGUGCAUGUGCUGGCGCAGCAAAGCGACAGCUCUCUCGAAGAUGACGAUGUUUAUGCUCCCUUUUGGACGUUGAUAUUGGAGGGCAAGAAAUACAAUUGAGUUGUAUACCAAAUCAGUCAUGUAUUAAAAUGAGAUGUAGUUUUAAUUCUAUUGUUUGUAUAUUGUUGGGUUGUACUUUAGAAUCGUGCGUUCUAAUUCCACGCAAUAUAAGAGAGCUUUGUAUGUAUUAGAUGUAAUACUCAAAAGUGUAAUAAAAGAGGAUAGAGAUAAUCUCAAAAGUUUGUGG
Molecule: unclassified non-coding RNA, 895 nt
Filed under: Zea mays
Lineage: Eukaryota; Viridiplantae; Streptophyta; Magnoliopsida; Poales; Poaceae
Description: misc RNA Zm00001eb405300
Source: RNAcentral